Molecule: non-coding RNA, 114 nt
Organism: Arthrobacter sp. Soil762
Lineage: Bacteria; Bacillati; Actinomycetota; Actinomycetes; Micrococcales; Micrococcaceae
Source: Rfam
GGUCACGAGUGCCAGCGCUAAACCCCGGUUUGCUGGCCGGCAACCCUCCAUUCGCGGUGGGGUGCCCCGGGUGACGACCAGGCCGGUCCGGAACGGACACGGCAAGCGCGGAUU